ACUCAUGGCGGACGGGUGAGUAACGCGUAAAGAACUUGCCCUUUAGACUGGGAUAACAGAGGGAAACUUCUGAUAAUACUGGAUAAGUUAGUAUAUCGCAUGAUAUACAAAUGAAAGCUACGGCACUAAAGGAGAGCUUUGCGUCCUAUUAGUUAGUUGGUAAGGUAAGAGCUUACCAAGGCGAUGAUAGGUAGCCGGCCUGAGAGGGUGGACGGCCACAAGGGGACUGAGAUACGGCCCUUACUCCUACGGGAGGCAGCAGGC
Molecule: ribosomal RNA, 264 nt
Filed under: uncultured Leptotrichia sp.
Lineage: Bacteria; Fusobacteriati; Fusobacteriota; Fusobacteriia; Fusobacteriales; Leptotrichiaceae
Description: partial 16S ribosomal RNA
Rfam family: Bacterial small subunit ribosomal RNA
Source: RNAcentral